GAUGAACGCUGGCGGCGUGCCUAAUACAUGCAAGUCGAGCGAACGGACGAGAAGCUUGCUUUUCUGAUGUUAGCGGCGGGCGGGUGAGUAACACGUGGAUAACCUACCUAUAAGACUGGGAUAACUUCGGGAAACCGGAGCUAAUACCGGAUAAUAUUUUGAACCGCAUGGUUCAAAAGUGAAAGACGGUCUUGCUGUCACUUAUAGAUGGAUCCGCGCUGCAUUAGCUAGUUGGUAAGGUAACGGCUUACCAAGGCAACGAUGCAUAGCCGACCUGAGAGGGUGAUCAGCCACACUGGAACUGAGACACGGUCCAGACUCCUACGGGAGGCAGCAGUAGGGAAUCUUCCGCAAUGGGCGAAAGCCUGACGGAGCAACGCCGCGUGAGUGAUGAAGGUCUUCGGAUCGUAAAACUCUGUUAUUAGGGAAGAACAUAUGUGUAAGUAACUGUGCACAUCUUGACGGUACCUAAUCAGAAAGCCACGGCUAACUACGUG
This 497-nucleotide ribosomal RNA is filed under the name uncultured bacterium. RNAcentral's name for it is "partial 16S ribosomal RNA". It matches the Rfam family "Bacterial small subunit ribosomal RNA", at positions 28 to 507 of the family's 1533-position model. The record is from RNAcentral.